AUUGAACGCUGGCGGCAGGCCUAACACAUGCAAGUCGAGCGGAUGAAGGGAGCUUGCUCCUGGAUUCAGCGGCGGACGGGUGAGUAAUGCCUAGGAAUCUGCCUGGUAGUGGGGGAUAACGUCCGGAAACGGGCGCUAAUACCGCAUACGUCCUGAGGGAGAAAGUGGGGGAUCUUCGGACCUCACGCUAUCAGAUGAGCCUAGGUCGGAUUAGCUAGUUGGUGGGGUAAAGGCCUACCAAGGCGACGAUCCGUAACUGGUCUGAGAGGAUGAUCAGUCACACUGGAACUGAGACACGGUCCAGACUCCUACGGGAGGCAGCAGUGGGGAAUAUUGGACAAUGGGCGAAAGCCUGAUCCAGCCAUGCCGCGUGUGUGAAGAAGGUCUUCGGAUUGUAAAGCACUUUAAGUUGGGAGGAAGGGAAGUAAGUUAAUACCUUGCUGUUUUGACGUUACCAACAGAAUAAGCACCGGCUAACUUCGU
Molecule: ribosomal RNA, 483 nt
Filed under: uncultured bacterium
Lineage: Bacteria
Description: partial 16S ribosomal RNA
Rfam family: Bacterial small subunit ribosomal RNA
Source: RNAcentral